This 253-nucleotide ribosomal RNA is filed under the name uncultured bacterium. RNAcentral describes it as "partial 16S ribosomal RNA". It matches the Rfam family "Bacterial small subunit ribosomal RNA", at positions 524 to 776 of the family's 1533-position model. The record is from RNAcentral.
UACGUAGGGAGCAAGCGUUGUCCGGAAUCAUUGGGCGUAAAGCGCGCGUAGGCGGCCCUGUAAGUCCGUUGUGAAAGUCAAAGGCUCAACCUUUGAAAGCCGAUGGAUACUGCAGGGCUAGAGUCCGGAAGAGGCGAGUGGAAUUCCUGGUGUAGCGGUGAAAUGCGCAGAUAUCAGGAGGAACACCGGUGGCGAAGGCGGGUCUCUGGGCCGUAACUGACGCUGAGGAGCAAAAGCGUGGGGAGCAAACAGG